Molecule: ribosomal RNA, 555 nt
Filed under: uncultured fungus
Lineage: Eukaryota; Fungi
Description: eukaryotic LSU rRNA
Rfam family: Eukaryotic large subunit ribosomal RNA
Source: RNAcentral
GAGGCGAUUGAACAGGGAAGAGCACAAUUUGAAAAUCGUUUCGUAAGAGACGACUUGUAUUUUAUGUUUCUAUUGCCAGUAUCAACCUUGGGUUAACUCUCUUAGAAUAGAGGGCCAGAGAGGGUGAGAGUCCCGUCUUUGCUCUAUGGUUGGUGCGUACGGUAUGGAAAACUAGAGUCGCGUUCUUUGGGAAUAGAGCGCUAAGUAGGUGGUAGAUUUCAUCUAAUGCUAAAUAUUGGUGGGAGACCGAUAGCGAACAAGUACCGUGAGGGAAAGGUGAAAAGAACUUUGAAAAGAGGGUUAAAAGUGCCUGAAAUCGCUGGUAGGGAAGCGGAUAAAACUGUCCACGUCUUUAGGAAUGGUAAAUGAGAAAGCUGAAAGUUGGAGUUCACCGCAAGGGAAUCUCUGGUCGUAGGCCCAAUUGAGUACCUGUCUUCCUGGGAUGAAGUUAGCAUCAGUUACAGCUGCGGCAUAACCCCUAAUUGUGAGCAAACUUGUUUGUGAGUAAUUAGGACGGUCGCCGCGGUUGCCCCUGAGAGCCGUCGCUUGCGUCGA